GAUGAACGCUGGCGGCGUGCUUAACACAUGCAAGUCGAACGAAGCACUUUAAUUGAUUUCUUCGGAAUGAAGUUUUUGUGACUGAGUGGCGGACGGGUGAGUAACGCGUGGGUAACCUGCCUCAUACAGGGGGAUAACAGUUGGAAACGACUGCUAAUACCGCAUAAGCGCACGGGAUUGCAUGAUCCAGUGUGAAAAACUCCGGUGGUAUGAGAUGGACCCGCGUCUGAUUAGCCAGUUGGCGGGGUAACGGCCCACCAAAGCGACGAUCAGUAGCCGACCUGAGAGGGUGACCGGCCACAUUGGGACUGAGACACGGCCCAAACUCCUACGGGAGGCAGCAGUGGGGAAUAUUGCACAAUGGGGGAAACCCUGAUGCAGCGACGCCGCGUGAGCGAAGAAGUAUUUCGGUAUGUAAAGCUCUAUCAGCAGGGAAGAAGAA
This 442-nucleotide ribosomal RNA is filed under the name uncultured bacterium. Its description in RNAcentral is "bacterial SSU rRNA". It matches the Rfam family "Bacterial small subunit ribosomal RNA", at positions 28 to 452 of the family's 1533-position model. The record is from RNAcentral.